GUUGGUGGUUCAGUGGUAGAACACUCGCCUUCCAUGUGGGAGACCCAGGUUCAAUUCCCAGCCAAAACA
Molecule: transfer RNA, 69 nt
Filed under: Loxodonta africana (African savanna elephant)
Lineage: Eukaryota; Metazoa; Chordata; Mammalia; Proboscidea; Elephantidae
Rfam family: tRNA
About the family: Transfer RNA (tRNA) molecules are approximately 80 nucleotides in length. Their secondary structure includes four short double-helical elements and three loops (D, anti-codon, and T loops). Further hydrogen bonds mediate the characteristic L-shaped molecular structure. tRNAs have two regions of fundamental functional importance: the anti-codon, which is responsible for specific mRNA codon recognition, and the 3' end, to which the tRNAs corresponding amino acid is attached (by aminoacyl-tRNA synthetases). tRNAs cope with the degeneracy of the genetic code in two manners: having more than one tRNA (with a specific anti-codon) for a particular amino acid; and 'wobble' base-pairing, i.e. permitting non-standard base-pairing at the 3rd anti-codon position.
Source: Rfam by way of RNAcentral